Molecule: long non-coding RNA, 547 nt
Organism: Gossypium arboreum
Lineage: Eukaryota; Viridiplantae; Streptophyta; Magnoliopsida; Malvales; Malvaceae
Exons: 4
Source: RefSeq, a predicted model, not a curated record
ACGAAAUUUUUCCCUUUGAUUUGGUGGCUGGAAGAUUGAAGAAGGGAUUUUAUUUAUUGGUCUUUUGCAAAUAUCGCCUUUGUCUUUUGUUUUGAUAAUUUCACAAGGGUUCAAAGCAUCAUUGUCUUAUGGUUAUUUUGGAUUUUUAAACUUGUGUGAUUAUUUGUGUUUCUAGAUGUUGGUUUCAAUUAGAUGAGGCUAACAUCUCCAUCACCGAUGUAUAGAGGUAUCUUCGCCACGUUCCUCGCAGGUUCAAGACAGGUUUCAGGAAAGGUACUGAAACAGCACCAAGGAAGAAGGUUGCAGCAGCUUCUGCUUAAAAGGCAAAUUGUAAUGAUGCCCUUAAAUCAAUGGAUCAGAAACGGGUUCAUGAUUUCCUUUUAGAUAUAAGACUAAUAUAUCUGCCCUUAGCUUGAAGGAAUAAGAUGAAGGUGUCUAUAGGAAGUCCAGGAAUGGUGAGUGGGUUAAUGCUAAGGAUAUAUCAAUGUGCAUUUCCUGCUGCUUCCAUUGUAGUCAUGGUCUCUGCCUUUGAUUUCUCUUCCUACAC